ACGGACCAAGGAGUCUAACGUGCGCGCGAGUCGCGGGGUGUCGAGCGGCGGUCGUGUUUCGGCACGACCGUCGUUCGUUACGACGCGAAACCCGUACCGUUCAUUCGGAAGGCGCAAUGAAAGUGAAAUGGGGAAGAUGGCGUUACCGAGUUCACGUUUCGCGACUCGAUCGCGACCGGUCGCCCGCAUUCCCAGGGCGUCCCAACGGCUCGGCGGCGUUGCGGAUCGUCGUUCCUUCGGGAACGGCGGUCGGGCGUCGUCGGUCCGGGGCGCACCUACAGCGUGCACGUUGGUACCCGAAAGAUGGUGAACUAUGCCCGGCCAGGAUGAAGUCAGGGGAAACCCUGAUGGAGGUCCGCAGCGAUUCUGACGUGCAAAUCGAUCGUCUGAGCUGGGUAUAGGGGCGAAAGACUAAUCGAACCAUCUAGUA
This 430-nucleotide ribosomal RNA is filed under the name Phenacoccus solenopsis (Solenopsis mealybug). RNAcentral's name for it is "partial large subunit ribosomal RNA". It matches the Rfam family "Eukaryotic large subunit ribosomal RNA", at positions 661 to 949 of the family's 3401-position model. Lineage: Eukaryota; Metazoa; Arthropoda; Insecta; Hemiptera; Pseudococcidae. The record is from RNAcentral.